AUGGCACAUGACUUCCUCCUGAGGCAGGUCUGCUUACCCUUUUUCUCUUCUUUUUUUUUUGAACACUUGAAGAGAAAUGAAGCCUUCUUCAGAGUUGGAUAUUUAUUUUUACUUCUUGCAGCUUAUAGUCAGCAGAUGAAGAUUAUUCCCCCAGGCAGAGUGGCCAGUUGCUUGCCUCUCUCUGACCCAGUGAAUGGACCCAUGGGGCAAACUAGAGUCUGUUUGCAGUCUAAUGAUGUUUUAAGUAUCGGAAGGAUCAAGGUGCUCACAAGGAUAACAGUCAAGUUCACUGAACCUCAACUAGGGUGGAGCCAAAGGACAUUCUUCCCAGCACCCUCAGAGGCUUCCAGUUGCUAUUUCCCCCUGGAUUCUUGGAGCCAAACUGUCCUUUGACAGUAUAAACCACCAAGCCUGUCAGUUUCUGCUUAAAUUCUAG
Molecule: long non-coding RNA, 436 nt
Filed under: Sus scrofa (pig)
Lineage: Eukaryota; Metazoa; Chordata; Mammalia; Artiodactyla; Suidae
Description: lncRNA (ENSSSCG00065020953.1)
Source: RNAcentral